UGUUGGGUUUUUUUAAUAUUUUUGUUUGAAUAACUUCUUUUGUUUGAUGUUUGAAUUGAAUUUUUGUAAUUUAGUGUGAUGAUUGUUAAUUAGAAAUAGAAAAUUUAUAAACUCUAAUUUGUUAAAAUGUUAUGUGCUUGAAGGUUGGAACUCGAAGAACAUAGGGUUUGCGUCGGCACAAGUUAAGUUGAUAAACUAAUGAUCAGUUAGAAGCUGAUACUUGAAAGAUUGGAGCUCGAAGAACAUAAGAUUUGCCUCGGCACAUGUUAAGUUGAAAACUGAUCAUCAGUUAGAAGCUGAUACUUGAAAAGCUAAGUUGUCUAUUCUUGAGCUAAAUAUAACUUUUUUUAUUUUCUUAUUUUGUUAACUUUCUCAACUUCUAUUUCUAUGUUAGCACUUCUACCUAAUCUCUACCAAACAUUACUUUUGAAGUAACUCCACCAUGCAACUUAAUAAAAUUAAAGAUUAGCUACUAACCGUAUCAUGAAAUUAUUUAGAGUUGAGGUAGAGGUACGGACCUAGGAAAUAGAAAUUGAGACGGUGAACAAAAUAUAGUUUGAUGAUUGUUAAUUAAAAAUAGAAAAUUUAUAAACUCUAAUUUGUAUAUUUGUGACUAGAUAACCCGGAGUCAUUAAGUGCGGCGGAUGAAGGUUAGCUCUGGAGCGUCUUACUGUGAGUAGUAUAUUAGACAUAUGUAUGUAUAUGCUUUUUCUCCUAUCUCCUUUGCAAUAUGCAUGCGUUUAAAUGCGAAUGAGAAUGACCAAACUUAGUGAUUAAGAUGAUAUGCCCGCAGGCAUUAUGUGAAAAAGUAGAUUUUAACUGCAUAACUAGAUUGAGUUAGAACGUCCUAGACGAUGGGGUAAUCAUCGGACAUAGGCGCAUAUGCUUGACACGUGAUAUUAGGCUUAGAGUGCUUUGUUAUUGUUAUUUUGAUCAGUAUUGCUAGGUGUUUAUUGAUGUUGAUGUGAUUGUCUGUGUUUACAUCUUUAUUAUGAUCUCAAUCAGCCGUCAGAAAGAAAUGCCGCCACUAUCCAAAUAGACUGAUUGGGUUAGUAGCUAAUACUUAAUUUUGUUAAGUUGCAUGGCGGAGUUACUUCAUAGUUCUUAUUGGGUUAUUUUAGUGUUUUUGUCUGAAUUACUUUUUUUGUUUGAUGUUUGAAUUGCAUUGUUUCUAAUAUUGUCUGAUGAUUGUUAAUUAGAAAUAUAAAAUUUAUUAAACUCUAAUUUAUUAAAAAUGGUAUGUGCUUGAAGAUUGGAGCUCGAAGAACAUAAGAUUUGCCUCGGCACAUGUUAAGUUGAUGAACUGAUCAUCAGUUAGAAGCUGAUACUUGAAAAGCUAAGUUGUCUAUUCUUGAGCUAAAUAUAACUUUUUUUAUUUUCUUAUUUUGUUAACUUUCUCCAUUUCUAUUUCUAUGUUAGUACUUCUACCUUAUCUCUACCAAACAUUACUUUUGAAGUAACUCCACCAUGCAACUUAAUAAAAAUUAAAGAUUAGCUACUGACCCUAUCAUGAAAUUAUUUAGAGUUGAGGUAGAGGUACGGACCUAGGUAAUAGAAAUUGGUACAGUGAACAAAAUAUAGUUUGAUGAUUGUUAAUUAGAAAUAUAAAAUUUGUUAAACUCUAAUUUGUUAAAAAUGGUAUGUGCUUGAAGAUUGGAGCUCGAAGAACAUAAGAUUUGCCUCGGCACAUGUUAAGUUGAAGAACUGAUCAUCAGUUAAAAGCUGAUACUUGAAAAGUUAAGUUGUCUAUUCUUGAGCUAAAUAUAACUUUUUUUAUUUCCUUAUUUUGUUAACUUUCUCAAUUUCAAUUUCUAUGUUAGUACUUCUACCUCAUCUCUACCAAACAUUACUUUUGAAGUAACUCCACCAUGCAGCUUAAUAAAAUUAAAGAUUAGAUACUAACCCUAUCAUGAAAUUAUUUAGAGUUGAGGUAGAGGUACGGACCUAGGAAAUAGAAAUUGAGAUAGUGAACAAAAUAUAGUUUGAUGAUUGUUAAUUAGAAAUAGAAAAUUUAUAAACUCUAAUUUGUAUAUUUGUGACUAGAUAACCAGGAGUGAUUAAGUUCUACAAAUAGAGGAUAGCUCUUGAGCGCCUUCCUGUGAGUGGUAUAUUAUACAUAUAUGUUGGAGCUCGAAAAACAUAAGGUUUGCGUCGGCACAAGUUAAGCUGAAAAACUGAUGAUUAGUUAGAAGCUAAUACUUGAAAGGUUAAGUUCCUUAUUCUUGAGCUAAGUAUAACUUUUUAAUUUCCUUAUUUUGUUUACUAUCUCAACUUCUACUUUAAAGGUUAGUACAUCUACCUCGUCUUUAAAUAAUUCCAUGAUAGGGUUAGUAGCUGAUUUUUAAUUUUAUUAUGUUGCAUGGUAGAGCUCCUUUAAAAGUCAUGUUGGGUUAUUUUACUUCUUUUGUUUGAUUCUUGAAUUCAAUCGUUUGCAAUAUAGUAUGAUGAUUGUUAAUUAGAAAUAUAAAAUUUAUAAACUCUAAUUUGUUAAAAAUGGUAUGUGCUUGAAGAUUGGAGCUCGAAGAACAUAA
Molecule: long non-coding RNA, 2531 nt
Organism: Ricinus communis (castor bean)
Lineage: Eukaryota; Viridiplantae; Streptophyta; Magnoliopsida; Malpighiales; Euphorbiaceae
Exons: 3
Source: RefSeq, a predicted model, not a curated record